UCCACCCAUACACUGAACCCUGGCCUCUGC
Molecule: non-coding RNA, 30 nt
Filed under: Mus musculus (house mouse)
Lineage: Eukaryota; Metazoa; Chordata; Mammalia; Rodentia; Muridae
Source: RNAcentral